UACGUAGGGUGCGAGCGUUAAUCGGAAUUACUGGGCGUAAAGCGUGCGCAGGCGGUCGUUCAAGUCGCGUGUGAAAGCCCCCGGCUCAACUGGGGAGGGUCACGCGAUACUGAUCGACUCGAAGGCAGGAGAGGGUAGUGGAAUUCCCGGUGUAGUGGUGAAAUGCGUAGAUAUCGGGAGGAACACCAGUGGCGAAGGCGACUACCUGGCCUGUUUCUUGACGCUGAGGCGCGAAAGCUAGGGGAGCAAACGGG
Molecule: ribosomal RNA, 254 nt
Filed under: uncultured bacterium
Lineage: Bacteria
Description: partial 16S ribosomal RNA
Rfam family: Bacterial small subunit ribosomal RNA
Source: RNAcentral